This 205-nucleotide long non-coding RNA is filed under the name Hordeum vulgare. RNAcentral's name for it is "long non-coding RNA (HVUL_LNC005784)". Lineage: Eukaryota; Viridiplantae; Streptophyta; Magnoliopsida; Poales; Poaceae. The record is from RNAcentral.
GUCAUCUUCAGGAUCGAGAGUUUGUUCCAUCAAAACUAAAGCGUGAGCAAAAUAGGGUAGCACAUCGGUUGGCAUUGUACAGUCGUACGGAGUCUACUACUGCCGUAUGGCUGGGGAGGAGCCCACCUUGUAUUGAGGAGUUGGUGCCUCUUGAUUGUAACCCUAUAAUUAUGGAAUAAAACUCUCUUUCUGUCGCAAAAAAAAA